GCCGUGAUCAGUACAGUGGUUAGUACUCUGCGUUGUGGCCCCAGCAACCCCGGUUAGAAUCCGGGUCACGGCA
RNAcentral lists this transfer RNA (73 nucleotides) under Gadus morhua (Atlantic cod). RNAcentral describes it as "tRNA-His (GTG) (tRNA-His-GTG-10-1)". It matches the Rfam family "tRNA". From Rfam's summary of the family: Transfer RNA (tRNA) molecules are approximately 80 nucleotides in length. Their secondary structure includes four short double-helical elements and three loops (D, anti-codon, and T loops). The record is from Rfam by way of RNAcentral. Lineage: Eukaryota; Metazoa; Chordata; Actinopteri; Gadiformes; Gadidae.